AGAUCGGAGGCUAAAAUCCUCCUUAGUGCCA
RNAcentral lists this transfer RNA (31 nucleotides) under Garra barreimiae. Its description in RNAcentral is "partial tRNA-Thr". The record is from RNAcentral. Lineage: Eukaryota; Metazoa; Chordata; Actinopteri; Cypriniformes; Cyprinidae.